UACAGAGGUCUCAAGCGUUGUUCGGAUUCAUUGGGCGUAAAGGGUGCGUAGGUGGUGGGGUAAGUCGGAUGUGAAAUCUCGGAGCUCAACUCCGAAAUGGCAUUGGAAACUACCCUGCUGGAGGUUUGGAGGGGGGACUGGAAUACUUGGUGUAGCAGUGAAAUGCGUAGAUAUCAAGUGGAACACCAGUGGCGAAGGCGAGUCCCUGGACAAAACCUGACACUGAGGCACGAAAGCUAGGGAAGCAAACAGG
RNAcentral lists this ribosomal RNA (253 nucleotides) under uncultured bacterium. RNAcentral describes it as "partial 16S ribosomal RNA". It matches the Rfam family "Bacterial small subunit ribosomal RNA", at positions 524 to 776 of the family's 1533-position model. The record is from RNAcentral.